This 497-nucleotide ribosomal RNA is filed under the name uncultured bacterium. Its description in RNAcentral is "partial 16S ribosomal RNA". It matches the Rfam family "Bacterial small subunit ribosomal RNA", at positions 28 to 507 of the family's 1533-position model. The record is from RNAcentral.
GAUGAACGCUGGCGGCGUGCCUAAUACAUGCAAGUCGAGCGAACAGAUGAGGAGCUUGCUCCUCUGACGUUAGCGGCGGACGGGUGAGUAACACGUGGAUAACCUACCUAUAAGACUGGGAUAACUUCGGGAAACCGGAGCUAAUACCGGAUAAUAUAUUGAACCGCAUGGUUCAAUAGUGAAAGACGGUUUUGCUGUCACUUAUAGAUGGAUCCGCGCCGCAUUAGCUAGUUGGUAAGGUAACGGCUUACCAAGGCAACGAUGCGUAGCCGACCUGAGAGGGUGGUCGGCCACCCUGGAACUGAGCCACGGUCCAGACUCCUACGGGAGGCAGCAGUAGGGAAUCUUCCGCAAUGGGCGAAAGCCUGACGGAGCAACGCCGCGUGAGUGAUGAAGGUCUUCGGAUCGUAAAACUCUGUUAUUAGGGAAGAACAAAUGUGUAAGUAACUAUGCACGUAUUGACGGUACCUAAUCAGAAAGCCACGGCUAACUACGUG